Molecule: ribosomal RNA, 326 nt
Filed under: uncultured Polynucleobacter sp.
Lineage: Bacteria; Pseudomonadati; Pseudomonadota; Betaproteobacteria; Burkholderiales; Burkholderiaceae
Description: bacterial SSU rRNA
Rfam family: Bacterial small subunit ribosomal RNA
Source: RNAcentral
AGCUGAGUUUGAUCCUGGCUCAGGACGAACGCUGGCGGCAUGCCUUACACAUGCAAGUCGAACGGCAGCACGGGUGCUUGCACCUGGUGUCGAGUGGCGGAACGGGGUGAGUAAAUACAUCGGAACGUACCUUAUCGUGGGGGAUAACGGCAGUCGAAAGUUGCGCCAAUACCGCAUACGCCCGUGAGGGGGAAAGCGGGGGACCGUAAGGCCUCGCGCGAUUAGAGCGGCCGAUGUCUGAUUAGCUUGUUGGUAAGGUAAUGGCUUACCAAGGCGACGAUCAGUAUCUGGUUUGAGAGGACGAUCAGACACACGUGGAACUGAGA